Molecule: long non-coding RNA, 2746 nt
Filed under: Homo sapiens (human)
Lineage: Eukaryota; Metazoa; Chordata; Mammalia; Primates; Hominidae
Description: non-protein coding LINC01812:10
Source: RNAcentral
AUUCACAGUCAAGUCAUGUGGAACUACACAACUUCCUUUUUGUGCAUUGGAGCUGGAAAUCUCGUUGAGUUUGGGAGGCCUUACUUCUGCAUAUUUGAAUCUGGUGACCAAAUUAAACAUUGUUCUAACUGCAGUUACCAUCCUCAAAUACAAAAGUAAUUGAUACUCAGCAAUGAAAGCUGCAUGUGCAUGUAGGGGAGAGAAGGAGGUUUCACCAGACUGACAAAUGGAGUCAUGGUUCUGGGAAGGAGCAGGGUGUUGGGUGCACAUUUGUCACCUGGGAAUACUACCAGCAAGCCUCAUAUUUUUUCUGCAAUAAAUGCUGGAAAGGAAAAAGAAAUGCUGAAAAUGAUGAAGUAAUUCCAAUUCUGCUGAUAGAGACCUGGAAAUGCACUAGGGAAAAAUGACAAGAGUGUAACACACUGCUGCUGAUUAUGUCAUAAUGAUUAUUUUAUGCAGUUUGAAGAAGACUCACUGUUCUAAAGAACCAGCAUCCAUUUCCAGGAAAGAGCAGGGAUUCUCCAUCCAUACCUCCAUGGGAUGAACCACAUUGAAAAUAAUGAUUUCCUUCUAAUAGCUUACUCUACAUUAUAUAAAGAAUUCCUUGGGAUUCUAAAAAAACCCUAAUAAUAUAGUAAUAAUAACAACAGAGGUUUGUUUUUGCUAUUUGUAGUCUAAUAUUCAGAUUGUGAGCAGCUGUUUUGGAAGGCAAGAUGAGUGAAUAGAUGUGAAGUCGUCUUAGAAAUGUCCAGGCUUCCAAAAGAAAUUUCACUUUUAAAAGAAAAUAGCCUAAUGUGAACCACAUUAGAAUCAGCACAUCUAAUCCUACGGAGAAAAAGUGACCAUGGCUGUCUACACAUAUAGGCAGGUCAUUCAAGCUCAUUCAAAAAUUCCACUUUCACUGGUGGUCUGUCUGUGUCCACAUGGUGACAAAUGGCCCCGGCAGGGUUUUUGAGGUGUUGGCACCACCAGUGAGUGCCAGAUGGAAUGUGGUGAAAGUUCUGAUUUGUACCUUUCAGACUAAAGGUACUUUCCAGAAUGGACGGGUCCUUCUGGCUGCCUUUUGUAAGUGCAGCCACAGGUAUUCUGUUGAAGCCUGUGGGUGAGAAAGACAUAAACAGGUGCUAUAAAUUUGUCAGACCAGGAAGCCACAGGCCGUUUAGUAAAUGGUAAACCCAAUGGCCCAAAAGAACAAAGGGGUCUCUUUUCAUCAGAAUGAUCAGGCUCAUUCAACAAAUAUUUAUUGAGCACCCACUUUCUGCCAGAUGGAAGAGCCACUGACAAGGCCUCUUAUUUAAAGAGUGCCUGAAGUGAGGAAGCAAACCCCCAAAUCAUCUGGGAUGGUAUGAACUGAACUCUGGACCGCAACAUGAUGGAAAGGAGGAGCUGGGGUCCCAAGGGCAGUCCAGACAACCUGAACCUGUGACACUCACCCUGCCCACACACUCUCAGAGCUGCAGCUUUCACGGGGGUGACAUGAAUGCUUGUAAAUGAGCUUGCUGAAUGGGAGACCAAGAACGAUGAUAUUGAGCUGUUACUACAUGCCAGACAUUUAACCCUUUCAUCCAGGUUAUCUCAAUCAUUCCUUACAGAAAGGCUUUUGAGAUGUCCUUGCAACUGGAGGUGCCAUAUGAUACAGUUCUGCCCAAAGACAAGAAAGUGAAUGUCUGUUGAGGGCUUCCUAUAAGGCCAAUACAUACAGGUGUUCCCAACAACAGAUGCUUCUGGACUUGUUAUCCUGUGUCAUUUCUACCUGGUGCCAGUUUUUGACAAAUGAUAGUAGCAAGUUGUGGACACAGCAAGAAGAUGGCUGUCUAUGAACCUGAAUAUGUCUAGCCCUCACCAGACACUGAAUCUGAGAGAACCUUGAUCUUGGAUUUCCAGCCUCCAGAGUUGUGAGAGCUAAAUUUCUGUUGUUUGUAAACCACCCAGUCUAUGGUAUUCUGUUACAGCAGCCUGAACAGGCUAAUAUAAAGACAAUAAGGAGAAUUUGCUAGCAAGAUGGAAGCCACAAUCUUUUGUAACCUAAUCACAGAAGUGACAGCCUAUCACUUUUGCCUUAUUGUGUUUAUUAGAAGCAAGUCACUAGGUCUAGCCUACCCUCAGGGGAAAGAAAUUCCACCAGGGCACAAAUGCCAGGAGAUGGGUAUCAGUGGAGACCAUCUGAGAAGUCUGCCUACUAAGGCUUUCCAUGUCUACCUCCGAACAAGGGAAUCUAUCAUGAUUAUUGCAUGUGCCCUGAGCACUGGGUUUAGAUGACAUUAAGCAGAAUCAAGGUAAUUGUUCAGGAAACCUUCAGCGGGAGAGUCUGCCCUGUGUCUAGUUUCUCUUUUGCUUCAGAAAAUACUUACUUGAAUUGUUUCUAACUUAAUAAUACUUUGUGUUACCUGAGGGUCUCUAAAGGCUUGGUAAGCAUCAGAACAAAAAAUUUCUUCUCCACUUUCUAGGAGUUCUUAGAUCAUUAUUUUGCUGGUACAGUAACUGGCUCUCCUAAUCCACUGUGAAGCUUGCUUAUUUACUGUGCGGAUGGUUUGGACCAUCAAAAGUGUAGAGUUAAAAUAACCAGGGGAGAGAAUAUUAGACCCAGAAUCAAAGUAGCCUAAAGUUACCUCUUUAGGUACCUUGUUUCUCCCAUGUGCAAACUGUAAGCUCAAGUGUCUUUUCUCAGGUGGUCACAAUGUAGUUUGAGACUAGAGGGAUUGUGGAUGAAGAUGCUCUGAGUUAUUUAGAAGAGAUGCACUACAUC